Molecule: transfer RNA, 82 nt
Filed under: Acidobacteriota bacterium
Lineage: Bacteria; Pseudomonadati; Acidobacteriota
Description: Acidobacteria bacterium (soil metagenome) tRNA-Tyr
Rfam family: tRNA
About the family: Transfer RNA (tRNA) molecules are approximately 80 nucleotides in length. Their secondary structure includes four short double-helical elements and three loops (D, anti-codon, and T loops).
Source: RNAcentral
GCAUCAGACGCCAAAUUGGUCAGGCAGCAGCCUGUAAAGCUGUGGCUCUCGAAGCGUGGAGGUUCGACUCCUCCCUGAUGCA